UUAUUAUAGGCAUAACUGCAUUGUCUGUUGAGGUCCCAUCAAAUGCACUUGCUGAAAUAUCUGGCAAAUAUUGAGGGAACAGAAACACAUGCUAACAAACGUUGUGGAGAAUGGAAAGACAAAUACUUACCAAUUAAUGAUAAAAGAAAUGCCUAAUUUGAAGAAUGAAUUACACUUAUUUUCAUAAUCAAGAAGCAGAUGUGUCAAGAUGAACUCAAACAAUGGAACAUUUUAUAUAAUUUCUGUACUUGUUGGAUGGGCUGAAGCAUUCAUAAUGUGUCUCCAUAUCUUGUUAUGCCAAGCUUAGGACUGAUGUCAUCAUUAAUAAGUCUUAGAUUCAAGCAAGUUCAAGUCGUAUUUACCUCUUCAUAUUUGAGUGAAAAGACAUCAAGAUCACAUUACAAACAUUGUUCUUUUUUAAUAAAAAUAAUUUUCAUAAAUUGUCUUACAAAUGCAG
Amphimedon queenslandica is the source of this 457-nucleotide long non-coding RNA. RefSeq lists it as uncharacterized. NCBI's taxonomy places the organism in Eukaryota, Metazoa, Porifera, Demospongiae, Haplosclerida, Niphatidae. The record is from RefSeq and is a predicted model, not a curated record. The transcript has 5 exons.